AGGGUUCGAUUCUGGCUCAGGAUGAACGCUAGCGAUAGGCCUAACACAUGCAAGUCGAGGGGCAGCACAUGAGUAGCAAUACGAUGGUGGCGACCGGCGCACGGGUGAGUAACACGUAUGCAACCUACCUUUAACAGGGGAAUAACCCGUUGAAAAACGGACUAAUACUCCAUAACACAGGGGUCCCGCAUGGGAAUAUUUGUUAAAGAUUAAUCGGUUGAAGAUGGGCAUGCGUUCCAUUAGCUUGUUGGUGAGGUAACGGCUCACCAAGGCCACGAUGGAUAGGGGAACUGAGAGGUUUAUCCCCCACACUGGAACUGAGACACGGUCCAGACUCCUACGGGAGGCAGCAGUGAGGAAUAUUGGUCAAUGGAGGCAACUCUGAACCAGCCAAGUCGCGUGAAAAGGAUGAAGGUCUUAUGGAUUGUAAACUUCUUUUGCAAGGGAAUAAAGUGGGGGACGUGUCCCUCCUUUCCGCAUGUACCUUGCGAAUAAGGAUCGGCUAACUCCGUGCCAGCAGCCGC
This 524-nucleotide ribosomal RNA is filed under the name uncultured bacterium. RNAcentral describes it as "bacterial SSU rRNA". It matches the Rfam family "Bacterial small subunit ribosomal RNA", at positions 8 to 518 of the family's 1533-position model. The record is from RNAcentral.